CUACGGGCUGCACCAGUGAGGAAUAUUGCACAAUGGGGGGAACCCUGAUGCAGCAACGCCGCGUGGAGGAUGACGCAUUUCGGUGUGUAAACUCCUUUUAUAUGUCAAGAAAAUGACGGUAGCAUAUGAAUAAGCACCCGCUAACUCCGUGCCAGCAGCCGCGGUAAUACGGAGGGUGCAAGCGUUAAUCGGAAUCACUGGGCGUAAAGGACGCGUAGGCGGGUUGGAAAGUCAGGUGUGAAAUCCUACAGCUUAACUGUAGAACUGCACUUGAAACUUCUAAUCUAGAGUAUGGGAGGGGGAGAUGGAAUUAGUGGUGUAGGGGUAAAAUCCGUAGAUAUCACUAGGAAUACCUAAAGCGAAGGCGAUCUCCUGGAACAUUACUGACGCUAAGGCGUGAAAGCGUGGGGAGCAAACAGGAUUAGAUACCCCCGUAGUC
RNAcentral lists this ribosomal RNA (439 nucleotides) under uncultured bacterium. Its description in RNAcentral is "partial 16S ribosomal RNA". It matches the Rfam family "Bacterial small subunit ribosomal RNA", at positions 339 to 795 of the family's 1533-position model. The record is from RNAcentral.